UAAGGAAUAUUGGUCAAUGGACGCAAGUCUGAACCAGCCAUGCCGCGUGAAGGAUGAAGGUCCUCUGGAUUGUAAACUUCUUUUAUCUGGGACGAAAACGGGAUUUUUAUCUCAAUUGACGGUACCAGAGGAAUAAGCACCGGCUAACUCCGUGCCAGCAGCCGCGGUAAUACGGAGGGUGCGAGCGUUAUCCGGAUUUACUGGGUUUAAAGGGUGCGUAGGUGGGCUUAUAAGUCAGUGGUGAAAUCUCCGAGCUUAACUUGGAAACUGCCGUUGAUACUAUAGGUCUUGAAUUAUCUGGAGGUAAGCGGAAUAUGUCAUGUAGCGGUGAAAGGCUUAGAUAUGACAUAGAACACCAAUUACGAAGGCAGCUUACUACGUAUAAAUUGACGCUGAGGCACGAAAGCGUGGGGAUCAAACA
Molecule: ribosomal RNA, 421 nt
Filed under: uncultured bacterium
Lineage: Bacteria
Description: bacterial SSU rRNA
Rfam family: Bacterial small subunit ribosomal RNA
Source: RNAcentral